GGCAUGCUCUGGGCCCUCAGGCCUGUUUAGACGGCUGGGCCGGAUGUGACCAACUCCAGGCACUUGGUUCUCCGCAAGGCUGGAGCUGUCAUCUCAAAAGCUGCUCAGCCAGAAGCCAAGAGGCAGGUGUCCUGUGGGCCCUGGGCAAGCUUCUUCUCCCGGUGGGCCUCGGAUUCUUUGCCUGUGGAAAGAGGUAUUUGGUUCCAACACCCUUUGGACGCUGGUGCCCUGUUCACCUGUGGGCCAGGACAACCCCGGUUCUGCUGUUCUGAUGUGGCCCUUCCAGACGGGGGCUGGUCGUGCCUGACUCUCUCUCCCUGAAGUCGUCUGUCCUGAGCCUCUGCCCCGGGCCCUGGCCAGGAAGAGUCUAAGGAAACGUGAACAUCUUUGCACUCUGUCCACCACGUCCAAAUUGAAAGCAGAAGAGGCCGGAGCCUUUGCUGUUAGCUCCUGCAGAGCAGGUCUGUCUUUUAUCGCUUUGGAGUCACCUUCUUAGGAGAGACUAAGUCUGCUUCGGUGAGAGUGACAGAGCAUGAAUGGGGGAGGGUCACAGACAGGGAGACACAGAAUCCGAAGCAGGCUCCGGGCUCCGAGCUGUCAGCACAGAGCCCAGCGUGGGGCUUGAACUCACGGACCGUGAGAUCAUGACCUGAGCCGAAGUCAGAUGCUUAACCGACUGAGCCCCCCAGGCGCCCCGAACUCAUACAAUACUGUAUGUCAAUUACUCUUCAGUAAUAAAAAAAAUUAAAUCAGUCAAUCCUCUCUACUUGAGGGCCGAAAAGAGAUUUAAAAAUAACAUAUAGGGACACCUGGGGGGCUUAGUCGGUUAAGCAUCUGACUCGUGAUUUCGGCUCAGGUCCUGAUCUCACAGUUCAUGGGUUGGAGCCCCAUGUUGGGCUCUGUGUUGACAGUGCAGAGCCUGCUUCAGAUUCCCUCUCUCUCUCUCUCUCUCUCUCUCUCUCUCUCUGUCUCUCUGACCCUCCUUGGCUCACAUGCAC
Acinonyx jubatus (cheetah) is the source of this 998-nucleotide long non-coding RNA. RefSeq lists it as uncharacterized. Lineage: Eukaryota; Metazoa; Chordata; Mammalia; Carnivora; Felidae. The transcript is spliced from 4 exons. The record is from RefSeq and is a predicted model, not a curated record.